CCUACGGGUGGCUGCAGUGGGGAAUAUUGCACAAUGGGCGGAAGCCUGAUGCAGCGACGCCGCGUGAGGGAUGACGGCCUUCGGGUUGUAAACCUCUUUCAGCCCUGACGAAGCGUAAGUGACGGUAGGGGCAGAAGAAGCGCCGGCCAACUACGUGCCAGCAGCCGCGGUAAGACGUAGGGCGCGAGCGUUGUCCGGAUUUAUUGGGCGUAAAGAGCUCGUAGGCGGCUUGUCGCGUCGGCUGUGAAAACCCGUGGCUUAACUGCGGGCUUGCA
Molecule: ribosomal RNA, 275 nt
Filed under: uncultured bacterium
Lineage: Bacteria
Description: partial 16S ribosomal RNA
Rfam family: Bacterial small subunit ribosomal RNA
Source: RNAcentral